GGUUUUCAUGUUUAACGCUCUCUCGGAAGACGAAAAGAAGGCGUUGAUUGAGAAGCUUGAGCAACAAAAUUAGAGUUAGAAUAAUUAACAGGGGAUCAGAGACAAGAAGAAAAUAAAAUACUGUAAAUAUUUUUGCCGUUUCACAGAUAGAGGAUCCUUGCGAGCCUGCUUCUGUGAGAAAAAACAAUGUUUGUUUUAUUUUUUUUUUGGGCUCCCCCUCUCUUUCAGUCUAUUGGCCAGACAAACAUUGACCUGUAUUACAAUUACAAUUUUAUGUAGAGUUUUACAUGAGAGAGUUUGUAGAAAGAAUUUAUUAGGAUGUUUUGGCAUUUAAAAAGAAGCAAUAUGAAUGCUUAUUCAGUGUAAGCAAGGAAGGAAUGGAUUCAAAUGUAAACUGAACC
Molecule: long non-coding RNA, 401 nt
Filed under: Citrus sinensis (sweet orange)
Lineage: Eukaryota; Viridiplantae; Streptophyta; Magnoliopsida; Sapindales; Rutaceae
Description: long non-coding RNA (CSIN_LNC003455)
Source: RNAcentral